AUGAACGCUGCGGCAUGCCUUCACAUGCAAGUCGAACGGCAGCACGGGAGCAAUCCUGGUGGCGAGUGGCGAACGGGUGAGUAAUACAUCGGAACGUGCCCAAUCGUGGGGGAUAACGCAGCGAAAGCUGUGCUAAUACCGCAUACGAUCUACGGAUGAAAGCAGGGGAUCGCAAGACCUUGCGCGAAUGGAGCGGCCGAUGGCAGAUUAGGUAGUUGGUGAGGUAAAGGCUCACCAAGCCGUCGAUCUGUAGCUGGUCUGAGAGGACGACCAGCCACACUGGGACUGAGACACGGCCCAGACUCCUACGGGAGGCAGCAGUGGGGAAUUUUGGACAAUGGGCGAAAGCCUGAUCCAGCCAUGCCGCGUGCAGGAUGAAGGCCUUCGGGUUGUAAACUGCUUUUGUACGGAACGAAACGGCCUUUUCUAAUAAAGAGGGCUAAUGACGGUACCGUAAGAAUAAGCACCGGCUAACUACGUGCCAGCAGCCGCGGUAAUACGUAGGGUGCAAGCGUUAAUCGGAAUUACUGGACGUAAAGCGUGCGCAGGCGGUUAUGUAAGACAGUUGUGAAAUCCCCGGGCUCAACCUGGGAACUGCAUCUGUGACUGCAUAGCUAGAGUACGGUAGAGGGGGAUGGAAUUCCGCGUGUAGCAGUGAAAUGCGUAGAUAUGCGGAGGAACACCGAUGGCGAAGGCAAUCCCCUGGACCUGUACUGACGCUCAUGCACGAAAGCGUGGGGAGCUAACAAGGG
This 752-nucleotide ribosomal RNA is filed under the name uncultured Comamonadaceae bacterium. Its description in RNAcentral is "bacterial SSU rRNA". It matches the Rfam family "Bacterial small subunit ribosomal RNA", at positions 29 to 778 of the family's 1533-position model. Lineage: Bacteria; Pseudomonadati; Pseudomonadota; Betaproteobacteria; Burkholderiales; Comamonadaceae. The record is from RNAcentral.